Molecule: ribosomal RNA, 468 nt
Filed under: uncultured bacterium
Lineage: Bacteria
Description: partial 16S ribosomal RNA
Rfam family: Bacterial small subunit ribosomal RNA
Source: RNAcentral
GACGAACGCUGGCGGCGGGCUUAACACAUGCAAGUCGAACGGAAAGGUCCUGCUUGUUUGCUGUGCUCGAGUGGCGAACGGGUGAGUAACACUUGAGUAACCUGCCCUUGACUUUGGGAUGGCUUCAAGAAACUGGGGCUAAGACCAGAUAGGAGCUCCUUCUGCAUGGUGGGGGUUGGAAAGUGUCGGAGGUUGUGGAUGUACUCGCGGCUUAUCAGCUUGUUGGUAGUGUAGUGGAUUACCAAGGCUUUGACGGGUAGCCGGCCUGAGAGGGUGACCGGCCAAAUUGGGACUGAGCUACGGGCGAGAGUCCUAAGGGAGGCAGCAGAGGGGACUAGUGCACAAUGGGGCGAAGCCGGAUGAAGGAACGCUGUGUGAGGGAUGAUGGACUUCGGGUUGUAAACCGCUUUCGCAUGUGACGAAGCGUGCGUGCAGGUACCGGGUAAAGAAGCACCGGCUAACUCCGUG